Molecule: non-coding RNA, 207 nt
Organism: Arachis ipaensis
Lineage: Eukaryota; Viridiplantae; Streptophyta; Magnoliopsida; Fabales; Fabaceae
Source: RefSeq, a predicted model, not a curated record
UUAGAAUUCUCUCAAGUGUAGUAGCAAGAGUUUCUGGUAAAUUCAAAGAUGAAAUUAUACCAGUUUCUACCAAGAUUGUGGAUCCAAAAACUGGAGAGGAGAAGCAAAUUAUAGUUUCGGCUGAUGAUGGUAUCCGGCCUAACUCAACUUUGAUGGAUCUAGCAAAGCUAAAGCCUGCAUUCCAGAAAGAUGGUUCAACAACAGCAU